Pseudopipra pipra is the source of this 1658-nucleotide long non-coding RNA. RefSeq lists it as uncharacterized. The transcript has 2 exons. NCBI's taxonomy places the organism in Eukaryota, Metazoa, Chordata, Aves, Passeriformes, Pipridae. The record is from RefSeq and is a predicted model, not a curated record.
CGCCGGCUGUGGGUGUCACCGACUCCACGCCUUUCUGCCCGUCCUACCGGACCACUUGGCCAGGCUGAGCUGCGACCCGAUUGUGACGGGCUGCACCGCAGGCACAGCCGCGUGGCUGAACAGCCCCAGUUUUCUUAGCCUUUCUUCAUAGAAGAAGUGCUUCAGCCUUCUGAUAAUUUUUGUGGCCCUCCUCUGGACUUGCUGCAACAGGUCAAUGUCUUUCUUGUACUGGGACCCCAGAGCUGGAUGCAGAACUGCAGGUGGAGCCAGACCAGAGUAGAGGGGCAGAAUCCCCUCCCUCAGCCUGCUGGCCAGACUGCUUUUGGUGCAGCUCAGGAUAUGGUUGGCUUUCAUGGAAGGCUCUAUCUGCUGAAAAAAGAUAAGGAUUUACAGAGCAAGAGGAGCAAACACCAGUGUCUUAAGCAGCUGUAAGCUCAUCAGAAAGAUGUCACUGUGCUGUUGGGCCUAGCCACGGUCUACAACUGUUGUUUUCCCUGACCUACUUCCAGCAUUUAGACUACAAUAAAAGACAAUUUAAAAUGUACAAUUUCCCUCCACAUUAUGUGUGAGACAGUAAUUGCUGGAGUCACACCAAUGAUGGCAAGGAUUUGCAAAAGGAAGGAGGAAGUGACUGUGAAUGAAAGGAAGGCAAUCUCACAGAUGAUUAUGAAGUAGACCAUGAAAUAAACAUAUGUGCAUAAAGCUGUUUAAAAAAUCUGUAUUACAUUUUACCCUGUUCAAAAGUGCUCAGAAGACUAGAGUUGAAUGACAAAAUCUCUUCCACCUGUAAUGGCAAGAAAAACAUUUGAAGCAGACUGACUUCUUCAGUACAAAGCAGAUUAAAACUAUCUGGCUAAUGUCAUACAUACUACUGAACAGUCAACAACUGAGGUCCUGUUCAUCACCUUGCAUUGCAAGAUGAUGAUGUGUAAGGGUAAAUAUUCUAGCAGUAGCAUAUUUAGGAAAUACUGCAAGUUUGAAUGCAAUUCCUUCCCCCAAUCAGAAACAACCUUUUUACUUUCUAUUAAUUACAGCUUAUUCCAAGCAGGCUGCAUAUCUCCCUUUAAGUAACCCAAACUUAAUGACUGCAAUACUGACUACUAUUAAUAUUGAAAAUAAUUUAUAAGCAUAUCUAGAAAAACCAAGGAAAAGAGAAAGGGCAUAAUGAAAAUCUUCAGUCUUCUGUUUCUAUGCUCUUGUCUCAGACUGAAACUUUUGCCUGCUUGAAAAAGAAAUGUGAAACACAAACUCACUUGCACUGCUGUAAUAAGCUUGUAUUUACAGGAAACAUUGCAAAGGCUUUCCUAGUGUACAUGUUCAUCUGUUUUGUUUAGCCAAAUAGCCUCCAGGAUCCUUCCUAAUCAAGGAAGAACAGCAUCAGAAGCACCCAGCAAAUGCAGCUACUUUCACAUCUCUCCCCUUUCUGCUAUAAAAUUUUGGAAUUACCUACCACUAAACCUAUCCAUGUUAUCUUUUUACCCUUCAGUUAUGAAACUGAGAUCCCUUUCCAGAGACUGACUGCACUUCACUUUAUUCAGUUCCUUGCUGCAAACUUGUGCUGGUUUAAAGGUAAACCAGCAGGGGAAAUGAACUCAACCCAAAAGAGAGAUUAUAAAUCAGAAUAACAAUUUAAUAAAAUAAUAUAAUAAGUACGAUUA